RNAcentral lists this ribosomal RNA (348 nucleotides) under uncultured bacterium. RNAcentral describes it as "bacterial SSU rRNA". It matches the Rfam family "Bacterial small subunit ribosomal RNA", at positions 28 to 377 of the family's 1533-position model. The record is from RNAcentral.
GACGAACGCUGGCGGCGUGCUUAACACAUGCAAGUCGAGCGGUAAGGGCCCUUUCGGGGGUACACGAGCGGCGAACGGGUGAGUAACACGUGGGUGACCUGCCCUCAGCUCUGGGAUAAGCCUGGGAAACCGGGUCUAAUACCGGAUAUGACUCCAUGACGCAUGUUGUGGGGUGAAAGCCUUGUGCGGCUGAGGAUGGGCCCGCGGCCUAUCAGCUUGUUGGUGGGGUGAUGGGCCUACCAAGGCGACGACGGGUAGCCGGCCUGAGAGGGCGACCGGCCACACUGGGACUGAGACACGGCCCAGACUCUACGGGAGGCAGCAGUGGGGAAUCUUGCGCAAUGGGCG